UAAAACCCAAUUGAGUUCUUCUCUUGUAUAACCUACUAUCCCAACAUCAGACCUCGUGACGCAACGAUGAUGAUGAUGGUACGAGACCAUUUACUAUCUAUUGAAGCUUCAUAUUUCCAAUUCCGCUGGAAUGGUUUCGGGGAAUUUGAAUAGAAAUUGAAUUUGCUUGUACUGUUUGCUAUAGAAAUGGCUUCUCGAAUAUUUAUUCUUGGUCUGUUGUUACUCGGAAUCGGAAGUCGCAAUCUAUAGAAUAUGGAAUUGGAGAUACCAAUGGACGAUCUUAUAACCAAUAUUUCAUUUCGAUGAACACAAUGUCUCUACUGUCGACAGCAAAUCUUCCCAGCUCUCAUACUUUUCCUGUUCUUCAUCAUUCAUUAGCAUAAGAGGAUUUAUGGAAGCAUGUGUUCUUUGUUACAACACACAUUAACAAUAGAAUCAUGGCUUAUGUGUCUUAGCAUGCUAUGCCAAGUUAAGGGUAGACUUUAACAGAGUUUUUAUCAUAUGCAUCUGGGAGUUUUAUGGAGUGGAUCCAAAUCCCAUUGGUGAAUGUUCUUUGCACUUAAGUUGGUUAUUUAGUAAUGUUACAUAUUGGGAAGGCAAUUUUAGAUGACUGAUUAGUCCCUUCUUUCCACGUCGUCUCCAAGCAGCAACUACCUAAUCGCCUAUAGAGCAAUAACGGUGGAUGUUGAUCUUGAUGACUCAUUGGCAAAACCGGAUCUUCGAAGUGAUGUAAAGAAAAAAUGCUAAGAAGCAUUCUCAUACAAAACAUCUUAAGAUAGAUGAGGUACAACUUCUGUGUGCAUAUUAUUAUGAGUUCAAAAUUCAGGAUGCAUGUGAUCCUUCAAAUUCCCUAGAAAAAUGGAGGAAAUGGCUCUCCUAUAUUUUAGAAGGUUCUAUAGGCAAUGGUCGCUGUGAAAACAUCAUACAAAAGACAUUAUGUAAAUUCUGAUAUAAUUUAUUACACUCUUUUUUCUUGAAAAUAAAAUAUUACGGGUGUCUUUGUAUUUUUGUAUGCUUAUACACACACACGUUUAGACAGUUUGACUUGUGUAGCGUAUAUAGGGGUGGUUCUGGUUCUGGUUCGGAACAUCUCAUUCAUGGUCGUUUAGCUCGGGAAUCAUUCAGGGUUUUCAGUUUUCAGAGUAGAAUCGUUGACUUUCGGCAACAUUGGGACCAGCUUGGGCAACCGACUUCUGCCCAAGAUCUGCUUUUGGGGUUUUUAGACUGUAUCACUUUAAUAUCUCAGUCCCUUUGCAGUCCCAUGACAAUUUUUGGUUGUGGAAUGAAGAUUCGAAUGAGAUCUUUCGGUUUGAUCUAUCAGAGGCAUGUUAGCUGCAGCGACAUCAACCUCACAAGGAUAUGUUUAUGAUUGGAACAAAUUGGUACAUAAGAAAAUUAAUAUGUUCAGAGAGCGUGCAACCCUAAACCGUCUACCAACAAGGACAGGCUAGCUUGAAGGGGUAUUUCUAUGCAUCAACCUUAUGUCCAUUAUACGGCAAGCUCGAAGAAUCGUUGGAGUAUCUAUUUUCUGGUUGUUUAGUCGCUACAGUAGUAUGGCAGUGAGUCUCUUCUUGGUGUGCUAUCCAACCUAACCUCACUUUUAAUGUCCAUGAUCUGUUUCAUCUUCAUGAAGACAUUAUUGGGUCAACCUAUCUUCGCUUUUAAUGUCCAUGAUCUGUUUCAUCUUCAUGAAGGCACUAUUGGGUCGGAGGUUAAGAAGAAUUUGGUAUGCUCAAAAUCAAUUUUAAUCUCAUGUUGGCCCAUAUGGUAACUUAGAAAUGAAGUUGUUUUCUCGUCCUCUAUAGUCGAUAUCGCAAGUCUCCUGGUUGAAAUCAAAACAUUGGAAACAAACUGGAACAAAUGGAAUGGUCUAGGUGGUGUCUUUUUUUAUUUUUAAUGUGUAUGUAAAUGAUUUAUCCUCUGUACAUUGUUCUUUGUUUUUUAUAAAACUUGC
Molecule: long non-coding RNA, 1954 nt
Filed under: Helianthus annuus (common sunflower)
Lineage: Eukaryota; Viridiplantae; Streptophyta; Magnoliopsida; Asterales; Asteraceae
Source: RNAcentral